UUCAUUCAUAUUGUAAAUGCACUAGUACUUCAUUUUUAUUGCUGAAUAGUAUUCAUUAUGUAGAUAUAAUGUUUCAUUUACCCAUUCACCAGAUGAUGGACGUUUGGACUGUUUCCAGUUGCUGUGUAUUAAGAAUAGCAUUGCUAAGAACAUUCGUAUACAAUUACUUACAUGGACAUAUGUUUUUUCUCUUAAAUAGAUACCUAGGAGUGCAAUUUCUGAUUGAAAUGAUGGAAGCAACUGUGGAAAAUCCUUGUGGAAAGGCAUAA
This 269-nucleotide long non-coding RNA is filed under the name Callithrix jacchus (white-tufted-ear marmoset). Its description in RNAcentral is "lncRNA (ENSCJAG00000079541.1)". The record is from RNAcentral. Lineage: Eukaryota; Metazoa; Chordata; Mammalia; Primates; Cebidae.